GCGCGCCUUCGGGCGAGCGGCGGACGGGUUAGUAACGCGUGGGAACGUGCCCAGAUCUACGGAAUAGCCACUGGAAACGGUGAGUAAUACCGUAUACGCCCUUCGGGGGAAAGAUUUAUCGGAUUUGGAUCGGCCCGCGUUAGAUUAGGUAGUUGGUGGGGUAACGGCCUACCAAGCCUACGAUCUAUAGCUGGUUUUAGAGGAUGAUCAGCAACACUGGGACUGAGACACGGCCCAGACUCCUACGGGAGGCAGCAGUGGGGAAUCUUGGACAAUGGGGGCAACCCUGAUCCAGCCAUGCCGCGUGAGUGAAGAAGGCCCUAGGGUCGUAAAACUCUUUCGCCUGGAUGAUAAUGACAGUAGCAGGUAAAG
This 372-nucleotide ribosomal RNA is filed under the name uncultured Alphaproteobacteria bacterium. RNAcentral's name for it is "bacterial SSU rRNA". It matches the Rfam family "Bacterial small subunit ribosomal RNA", at positions 66 to 487 of the family's 1533-position model. Lineage: Bacteria; Pseudomonadati; Pseudomonadota; Alphaproteobacteria. The record is from RNAcentral.